AGUGAACGCUGGCGGCGUGCUUAACACAUGCAAGUCGAACGAGAAACGGAUUUAGCUUGCUAAAUUGCAGUCUAAGUGGCGCACGGGUGAGUAAUGUAUAGGUAAUAUGCCUCUUACUAAGGGAUAACAAUUGGAAACGAUUGCUAAUACCUUAUAUGCCUUUAAUACGGAAGUAUGCAAGGGAAAGAUUAUUGGUAAGAGAUUAGCCUGUAUGGUAUCAGUUAGUUGGUGAGGUAAUGGCUCACCAAGACAAUGACGCCUAACUGGUUUGAGAGGAUGAUCAGUCACACUGGAACUGAGACACGGUCCAGACUCCUACGGGAGGCAGCAGUGGGGAAUAUUGCACAAUGGACGAAAGUCUGAUGCAGCAACGCCGCGUGGAGGAUGACACAUUUCGGUGCGUAAACUCCUUUUAUAUAGGAAGAUAAUGACGGUACUAUAUGAAUAAGCACCGGCUAACUCCGUGCCAGCCGCCGCCGUAA
This 482-nucleotide ribosomal RNA is filed under the name uncultured bacterium. RNAcentral describes it as "partial 16S ribosomal RNA". It matches the Rfam family "Bacterial small subunit ribosomal RNA", at positions 29 to 523 of the family's 1533-position model. The record is from RNAcentral.